CGGCGUCACGAGUGGCAAUCACGUUUAUUGGGUCUAAAGCGUUCGUAGCCGGUUUAGUAAAUCUUUUGUGAAAUUGUCGGGCUUAACUUGACAACGUGCAGAAGACACUGCUAAACUAGAGACCGGGAGGGGUCAGAAGUAUUUCGGGGGGAGCGGUAAAAUGUUAUAAUCCCUGAAAGACUACCAAUGGCGAAGGCAUCUAACCAGAACGGAUCUGACGGUGAGGAACGAAGGCUAGGGGAGCGAACCGGAUUAGAUACCCGAGUAGUCC
RNAcentral lists this ribosomal RNA (271 nucleotides) under uncultured archaeon. Its description in RNAcentral is "partial 16S ribosomal RNA". It matches the Rfam family "Archaeal small subunit ribosomal RNA", at positions 477 to 747 of the family's 1478-position model. The record is from RNAcentral.